CUUCCGAAGCUUGGCUCGGGUCUUGAGUUGUUUCGAUCAGGUUCAAUACAGCAGUAGACUGUUCUUCUUCAACUUCCGGGAUCAACUCGUACAUGACGUCAGCGAGGGACCUUUUUCAACUUGCUGCAAAUCAUCUAAAGAAGUGCAUGUCCAAGUUUGGUUUGUGCUAGAACUCGUUGAGGGCAUCGUUCACCUUGGUUUGACUAUUCACCCGCCCCUCUAGUCGACAUACAAGAUCCUUUCACUAAGUCUUAGCAUUUGCUCGAGAUGAGCAAAGAGCUAGCUUGGGGGACUUGUUGAUGGUUGUUAAGUACAAAAUAUGACUGUCAAUAUGCUCAAGGAUAAAGGAGGUUGGCAUUUCUUACACGCAUAUUUAGUUAAGAAUAAUGUAGUUCCACUUGUCCUUGGAGAAUAUUUGGUUGCAGGUGAAGAAAGCACAAAGUGUGAGGUUGCCACAUAUUCAUCCCAUGGAUUGAAAGGCCCACAAACUACCACAAGUUCCUCAAACCACUGGAUAACGCACACAACCGCCAUUGGGAGCCACCAGGCAGUCACCCGGAGAAAGGCGGUUGCGAGGCGAGCCCACAGGGGGUCGGCCGAACUGGCCGAAUCACCCUUGGCUCCUCUCAUCUCUAGCUCAUGUGUAGCAAUGGUUGACGGGGCCCCUACGUCAGUUAUGGGAUAUUCCCCGAAGAUUCCUUAGCAGAACCGCCUCCAAGCUCCUAUAAAUAUAGAGGCACCCCCUCCAUUCUUACACACACCACAAGUUGAAUCACUCUCUCCCUCUUAGUUUUAAAGUUAGUGGAGUUAGGCUAGAGUAGCUCUACUUCAAGGUUCUUGGUCUUCUUGGAGUCUAGGGUAUGUCUC
Long non-coding RNA from Setaria italica (foxtail millet), 867 nucleotides. RefSeq lists it as uncharacterized. The transcript has 3 exons. Lineage: Eukaryota; Viridiplantae; Streptophyta; Magnoliopsida; Poales; Poaceae. The record is from RefSeq and is a predicted model, not a curated record.